GCCAAUCUCAUUAUAUCAUAUAUGAAGCCAAAUUCAAUUUACAAAAACAACCACAUAAAUUAUCAUUUUCAUGACAAUAUGAAGAAAAAAAAGUUUCAAUGCACAAUAAGGAUGCAAGAGUGCAUUAAGAUAUACUUUAAAGAAAAACAUCAAUACAUAGACUCAAUCUAUUUCUCUCUUCCUCUAAACAAUAAUUCAAAAAUAAUCAUAGCUCCUUUUUUCCAUUAAUUUGGUUGAUAACUUCAAACUCCAGGUCCCUCCCUCUUUAGGACAUAUAGAUCGAAGGCCCAAAACCAAAUUGAUAAUCUUCUAUCAUAUCCUACAAUCUAAAGUUCCCUGCAUAAAAUUUGGAAAUUCAUCAUAUCUGAGAUAAAAAGAUAACUACAUUGAAUGUUACCAGCAUAUAGUUAUAUUGAACAUAGUUUAUCCAUAGUCAUGGAGAAAAUCAAAUGGAUAAUCAAAUCAAGAAUAACUAACAUCUAAAAAGCAAGCAAUCAAGCAGAAAAAAUAAUCUUAAUUGUUAAAAAAUAAAUUUCAAUAUAAAUAAAAAAUAAAUAUAAUUCACACAAUAAAAGUGCUAAUUUUGCCAAGACAAUUAUGAUGUUCAAAUGUUACAAAUAGAACCACGUUGCUCCUAUGUGACAAAAAAUUUACCUCAUUAGUAUUGCUUGUACUUUUCACCUCAUUAGUUUAAAUGAGAACAUGCAUGGUGUAUAUAGAAGUUUUUCAUCUAUGUUUCAAUCCCCACCACUUAAGCCAUGCUCAAUAAAAAUCUAAUUCCACCGACCAAACAAAACUAAAGAAAUUCAAUUAAUUGAAAUAUCACAAAGAGACAUAAUCAGAGAAAAUUAAUGCAGAAGUUAGAAUCUUUUUACCUGCAUUUCAAAAGGAAAAAAGGCAUAAUCAGGUAACCUAUAUCAAACACCACCAAUAUUUCCCCAUACUAUAAUACUCUGCAAUUCAAGUGCAAAAAAAAAACCAUAAGAAGCUAAAAUAUAAUCAAAUACCAAUCAAUUUUCCGUUAAAAAAAAGUCAAUUACUUCAACACUCAACAUGUCAAAAUUAUCUUCUUCUAACCCUUUAUUUAUUUA
This 1091-nucleotide long non-coding RNA is filed under the name Trifolium pratense (red clover). RNAcentral's name for it is "long non-coding RNA (TPRA_LNC005451)". The record is from RNAcentral. Lineage: Eukaryota; Viridiplantae; Streptophyta; Magnoliopsida; Fabales; Fabaceae.